Molecule: ribosomal RNA, 382 nt
Filed under: uncultured bacterium
Lineage: Bacteria
Description: bacterial SSU rRNA
Rfam family: Bacterial small subunit ribosomal RNA
Source: RNAcentral
AACGAACGCUGGCGGCGCGCCUAACACAUGCAAGUCGAACGAGAAGGCGUAGCAAUACGCUUGUACAGUGGCGAACGGGUGAGGAAUACGUGGGUAACCUACCCUCGAGUGGGGAAUAACCAACCGAAAGGUUGGCUAAUGCCGCGUACGCUUCCAUCCUUUCGGGGGUGGAAGGAAAGCUGUACCGUGGGUACAGCGCUCAAGGAUGGGCUCACGUCCUAUCAGCUUGUUGGUAGGGUAACGGCCACCAAGGCAACGACGGGUAGCUGGUCUGAGAGGACGAUCAGCCACACUGGCACUGCGACACGGGCCAGACUCCUACGGGAGGCAGCAGUGAGGAAUAUUGCGCAAUGGGCGAAAGCCUGACGCAGCGACGCCGCGU